GAUGAACGCUGGCGGCGUGCCUAACACAUGCAAGUCGAGCGAACAGACGAGGAGCUCUCUCCCUUGACGUUAGCGGCGGACGGGCGAGUAACACGUGGAUAACCUACUUCUAUUACUGGGAUAAUUACGGGAAACCGGUUACACUAAUACCUCAUAUAUCGUACCGCAUGGAUCAAUAGUGAAAGACGGCUUUGCCGUUUCUUAUAGACGGUUCCGCGCCGCAUUAGCUAGUUGGUAAGGUAACGGCUUACCAAGGCAACGAUGCGUAGCCGACCUGAGAGGGUGAUCAGCCACACUGGAACUGAGACACGGUCCAGACUCCUACGGGAGGCAGCAGUGGGGAAUAUUCCGCAAUGGGCGCAAGCCUGACGGAGCAACACCGCGUGAGUGAAGAAGGUCUUCGGGUCGUAAAGCUCUGUUGUUAGGAAAGAACAAAUGUAUGAGUAUCUAUGGACGUCUUGACGGUACCUAAAGAAAAAGCAACGGCUAACUACGUG
This 497-nucleotide ribosomal RNA is filed under the name uncultured bacterium. Its description in RNAcentral is "partial 16S ribosomal RNA". It matches the Rfam family "Bacterial small subunit ribosomal RNA", at positions 28 to 507 of the family's 1533-position model. The record is from RNAcentral.